CUUACACAUGCAGUCGAACGAUGAUCUCCAGCUUGCUGGGGGGAUUAGUGGCGAACGGGUGAGUAACACGUGAGUAACCUGCCCUUGACUCUGGGAUAAGCCUGGGAAACUGGGUCUAAUACCGGAUAUGACCAUUCCGCGCAUGCGGUGGUGGUGGAAAGCUUUUGCGGUUUUGGAUGGACUCGCGGCCUAUCAGCUUGUUGGUGGGGUAAUGGCCUACCAAGGCGACGACGGGUAGCCGGCCUGAGAGGGUGACCGGCCACACUGGGACUGAGACACGGCCCAGACUCCUACGGGAGGCAGCAGUGGGGAAUAUUGCACAAUGGGCGCAAGCCUGAUGCAGCGACGCCGCGUGAGGGAUGACGGCCUUCGGGUUGUAAACCUCUUUCAGUAGGGAAGAAGCGAAAGUGACGGUACCUGCAGAAGAAGCGCCGGCUAACUACGUGCCAGCAGCCGCGGUAAUACGUAGGGCGCAAGCGUUAUCCGGAAUUAUUGGGCGUAAAGAGCUCGUAGGCGGUUUGUCGCGUCUGCUGUGAAAGACCGGGGCUCAACUCCGGUUCUGCAGUGGGUACGGGCAGACUAGAGUGAUGUAGGGGAGACUGGAAUUCCUGGUGUAGCGGUGAAAUGCGCAGAUAUCAGGAGGAACACCGAUGGCGAAGGCAGGUCUCUGGGCAUUAACUGACGCUGAGGAGCGAAAGCAUGGGGAGCGAACAGGAUUAGAUACCCUGGUAGUCCAUGCCGUAAACGUUGGGCACUAGGUGUGGGGGACAUUCCACGUUUUCCGCGCCGUAGCUAACGCAUUAAGUGCCCCGCCUGGGGAGUACGGCCGCAAGGCUAAAACUCAAGAGA
RNAcentral lists this ribosomal RNA (849 nucleotides) under Arthrobacter sp. NAR7(6). RNAcentral describes it as "bacterial SSU rRNA". It matches the Rfam family "Bacterial small subunit ribosomal RNA", at positions 48 to 908 of the family's 1533-position model. The record is from RNAcentral. Lineage: Bacteria; Bacillati; Actinomycetota; Actinomycetes; Micrococcales; Micrococcaceae.